GACGAACGCUGGCGGCGUGCCUAAUACAUGCAAGUUGAGCGCUGAAGGUUGGUACUUGUCCCAACUGGCUGAGCAGCGAACGGGUGAGUAACGCGUGGGGAAUCUGCCUUUGAGCGGGGGACAACAUUUGGAAACGAAUGCUAAUACCGCAUAAAAACUUUAAACACAAGUUUUAAGUUUGAAAUAUGCAAUUGCAUCACUCAAAGAUGAUCCCGCGUUGUAUUAGCUAGUUGGUGAGGUAAAGGCUCACCAAGGCGAUGAUACAUAGCCGACCUGAGAGGGGGAUCGGCAACAUUGGGACGGAGAAACGGCCCAAACGACUACGGGAGGCAGCAGUAGGGAAACUUCGGAAAUGGACGAAAGUCUGACCGAGCAACGCCGCGUGAGUGAAGAAGGGUUUCGGAUCGUAAAACUCUGUUGGUAGAGAAGAACGUUGGUGAGAGUGGAAAGCUCAUCAAGUGACGGUAACUACCCAGAAAGGGACGGCUAACUACGUG
Molecule: ribosomal RNA, 497 nt
Filed under: uncultured bacterium
Lineage: Bacteria
Description: partial 16S ribosomal RNA
Rfam family: Bacterial small subunit ribosomal RNA
Source: RNAcentral